This 869-nucleotide ribosomal RNA is filed under the name Acaulospora scrobiculata. RNAcentral's name for it is "SSU rRNA". It matches the Rfam family "Eukaryotic small subunit ribosomal RNA", at positions 548 to 1437 of the family's 1831-position model. Lineage: Eukaryota; Fungi; Glomeromycota; Glomeromycetes; Diversisporales; Acaulosporaceae. The record is from RNAcentral.
UUGGAGGGCAAGUCUGGUGCCAGCAGCCGCGGUAAUUCCAGCUCCAAUAGCGUAUAUUAAAGUUGUUGCAGUUAAAAAGCUCGUAGCUGAAUUUCGGGGUCUGUCCAUUGGUCGGGCUUUACGGUCCGUACUGGUGAGAUGGGUUCCUACCUUCUGAAUAACCAGCAUGCCAUUCAGUUGGUGCGUUGGGGAAGCAGAGCUAUUACCUUGAAAAAAUUAGAGUGCUUAAAGCAGGCUAGUGCUUGAAUAGAUUAACAUGGAAUAAUAAAAUAGGACGGCAUGGUUCUAUUUUGUUGGUUUCUAGGAUCACCGUAAUGAUUAAUAGGGAUAGUUGGGGGCAUUAGUAUUCAAUUGUCAGAGGUGAAAUUCUUGGAUUUAUUGAAGACUAACUUCUGCGAAAGCAUUUGCCAAGGAUGUUUUCAUUAAUCAAGAACGAAAGUUAGGGGAUCGAAGACGAUCAGAUACCGUCGUAAUCUUAACCAUAAACUAUGCCGACUAGGGAUCGGACGAUGUUAAUUUUUUAAUGACUCGUUCGGCGCCUUACGGGAAACCAAAGUGUUUGGGUUCCGGGGGGAGUAUGGUCGCAAGGCUGAAGCUUAAAGGAAUUGACGGAAGGGCACCACCAGGGGUGGAGCCUGCGGCUUAAUUUGACUCAACACGGGGAAACUCACCAGGUCCAGACAUAGUAAGGAUUGACAGAUUGAGAGCUCUUUCUUGAUUCUAUGGGUGGUGGUGCAUGGCCGUUCUUAGUUGGUGGAGUGAUUUGUCUGGUUAAUUCCGUUAACGAAAGACCUUAACACUGCUAAAUAGUUAGGCACUCCUUCGGGAGGGUCGUCAACUUCUUAGAGGGACUAUCGGCGUUUAGCCGA